UGCCUCCGAGUGCUAGGAUUAAAGGCAUG
RNAcentral lists this non-coding RNA (29 nucleotides) under Mus musculus (house mouse). Lineage: Eukaryota; Metazoa; Chordata; Mammalia; Rodentia; Muridae. The record is from RNAcentral.